UACCUGUAGUAAGGUGAGGUUGCCCAGCAAUGUUCCUAAUCUGAUUGUGCCUGCUACAAAUGCAGUUAUUACCAAGGCUCUAAGUGUCGGGGGCAGGCUGAUUGAUGCUCGCCUGGUUUUCACCAAUGGCCUGCUCUCCAAGGCCCUGGUUCCGGUUGCCCAGUGCCUGAGUGACAUUGGGGAGAGGAAAGGUAAGCCUGUGGAUGAUUACCUGGAUGGCCUGAAUAACUGUGUAUGUCUCCUGACUUCUGCAGUGUGUUACCUUAACCAGCUCAGGAAGAAAGUGGCCCGCAUUCACGUGAACGAUUCAGCCCUUGUGGAGCUUUGCCGUUGGGACUGUGAAGUUGGCACUGCAGAGCUGUUCCCCUUUGAUGUCAUUAAGAAGUGUGAGGAGUUGCAUCGGGCCAGGCGGCUGGGCAGGCCUUCUUUCCGGCCAUACCGGUCAGGAGGUCCCAGGCGGACGGCUGCUUCCCGCCAGGCUCCCAGGAGGGCCCCUCCUUCCCAGAACUCAAGGUUUUGGUCUAAGCCUUUUUUAGGCCAGCGGCCUCCUCCGCUGAGGGGGAACCAGCAACACAGGCCGGCCCAGUGAACCCUUGCCGAGUCCGCCGCGUCUAGCAAGGCUGCGCUCCGUCUUCCGCUGUCCUCCAUCCUUUCAUCUGUGGGCUGGUCCAGGGAGUCUACCUUCGCAAAGUUUUAUGGGAGGCCAAUUAGCAAGAAGGAGUUAUUUGCACAGGCGGUGUUGGCGGAGGAUGGGUCUCCUCCAUGAAUAUGUAAAAUGUACUACGGUGUUUUGUGGUGGUUUUCAUAUGAUUUCAUUGUUUGUCCACAUAUUUGUACUUAAUUGUAUGCUUUUGGCUGGAAUACAUGAAGAUGAUACUAUAUGGUUUUCAGUCAUUCCUGGUUUUGGGGUUCGGCUUGGUUUGAGGACCUGCUCUAAAGCUCUCAUUUGUUGCCUCGGUGACGUCAGUUUAAAUAUUGUGAAGUGAAAUUGUAAGAUUAAACGAUACUUACCAAGUUGAAGUUUGAUCGUAAUUUCACGAACAUUUAAACGACGUCACUGAGGCAGUAAAUGCCCUCCCUUCCCUCCCACGGCUUCUUGGUCGCCGUGUUUUGGGGUUUUUUCUUCACUCACUGAAAAAUGUUUAGUUUUUGUAAUUUUUAUACUUUGUUCCUCAAACCAACACUCUGAAGGACUGACGAGGAGCGGCAUAGACAUCUCAUUUACUGCCUCAGUGACGUCGUUUAAAUGUUCGUGAAAUUACGAUCAAACUUCAACUUGGUAAGUAUCGUU
This 1291-nucleotide unclassified non-coding RNA is filed under the name Portunus trituberculatus (swimming crab). RNAcentral's name for it is "uncharacterized LOC123504510, transcript variant X1". The record is from RNAcentral. Lineage: Eukaryota; Metazoa; Arthropoda; Malacostraca; Decapoda; Portunidae.